This 343-nucleotide unclassified non-coding RNA is filed under the name soil metagenome. RNAcentral's name for it is "partial contains 5.8S ribosomal RNA, internal transcribed spacer 2, and large subunit ribosomal RNA". The stretch from base 1 to 120 matches the Rfam family "5.8S ribosomal RNA", at positions 35 to 154 of the family's 154-position model. The record is from RNAcentral.
GAUGAAGAACGCAGCGAAAUGCGAUAAGUAAUGUGAAUUGCAGAAUUCAGUGAAUCAUCGAGUUUUUGAACGCAUAUUGCGCCCUCUGGUAUUCCGGGGGGCAUGCCUGUUCGAGCGUCAUUAAAUAACCCUCAAGCAUAGCUUGGUGUUGGGCUUUUUUACGUCCUUGGCUGGGAUGGGCCUAAAAAUUAGUGGCGAUGGCUUUUUUACUUUCAAGCGUAGUAAAUCUCGUCUUGCUAAAGAGGAAAAAGAUUUUUUUUCUGCCAAAAAUUUUAACAUUUAAAGUUGACCUCGGAUCAGGUAGGAUUACCCGCUGAACUUAAGCAUAUCAAUAAGCGGAGGA